GUCAAGUGACUAAGUGCAUGUGGUGGAUGCCUUGGCGAUUACAGGCGACGAAGGACGUGAUAGCCUGCGAUAAGCUUCGGGGAGCUGGCAAAUUAGCUUUGAUCCGGAGAUUUCCGAAUGGGGAAACCCACCGAAAGGUAUCGUAUUCUGAAUACAUAGGGAUACGAGGCGAACCGGGUGAACUGAAACAUCUCAGUAGCUAGGAAAAGACAU
RNAcentral lists this ribosomal RNA (213 nucleotides) under Pteridomonas danica. RNAcentral's name for it is "partial Bacterial large subunit ribosomal RNA". It matches the Rfam family "Bacterial large subunit ribosomal RNA", at positions 1 to 225 of the family's 2925-position model. Lineage: Eukaryota; Dictyochophyceae; Pedinellales. The record is from RNAcentral.